GUGAGUACUUUCUCAGUCUUCAUGGUACGGCCUUUUUUAGGCCCUUUUAAGGUUUUCUAAUUUUCCCCAUGGUGAGAUUUUUGUCAAGACAUCAAGUACGAUGGCUCUGAGUCUGACCACAAAUAAGCCUCUGCUCAUGGCCAUGAAGGCACAGAUUUACGACGAGCUCAGCAGAAUUCAGUUUUGGGUAACCUAUAGAUCGGAGAUACAUUGCAGCCUCCUCUGGGCUGAAUCCUGCUGCUAGCGGUGACCAGAAACUCUUCCCUUACUGUAAUGAGUAAUCUGCCCUCACCUAUUAAUAUAUAUUUUAAUUAUAGCUUUGCUUCAUCCAAAUUUUUUUUUCAGUCCUACAGAUCUGAACUAUUGUUGUGCUGAAUGCCUCCCUAGUCCCUACAAUUAUUUUUAUGGUGAAUGAUGUCUGAUGGAUUGAUGAAUAUUGGACCUUAGAUUCAUGAGCUGUGCCAUUUAUAGGUUGCAUUUGUUAAUAGAAGUUGUUUGAGUAUUAUUUUUGGCGAUUAUACUGUCAUUAGAGUGCAUCUAAUUAGUGAUUUGGCUUGUCCCGUUGAUGUGAGUUUGAUUUGGAAUGUGAUAAUGGAACCAUUAUUUCUUCUGUCUCCAAUUUUUUGUUUGGCUUUUGUUAUUUGCACUUAUAUAUACCUUGUGGAGAAGUUACAUAUGUUGCAAUGGCCAAUUAAUCAAAUUUAUAAAGGGCCUAUUGAGAUCUUUGGGUGAGUCUAUUUUUAUCUUACUAUAUAUAAAAAGAGAGAGUUUUUUGUUGUGUAAUAAAACGGUAGAGAAGGGACAAACGAUGGGUUGAAAUCAGUUGUGUUGGGCUGGAGAGAGAGUUUGGGCUUUUUUUUCUUUUUCAUUUUUUUUCCUAUUGUUAUCUAUUGCCAGAUUUUACUCCGGAUUUUUCUCCCAACCACUACUGACACUGAGUAGUGAGUACUGAUAGAGAAACACGUAUAGAAGGAGGUGGUAUUGCAUGUUUCCACAUUGUGUAGAAGAGAGGAAAAGAAGAAAAUGAUUCAACUACAUAUUUCCACUACAAAUUAGGACUUCAGGAUUUUGGGUUGUAAGUUGGGCAUUAGAUCUUUCAUGUUUUCAAUUACUAAGAAAAUGAUUUAUUGAUUGAUGGAUUACAAUAUGUCUCCAUGCUUAGGAAAAUGGGGGAAAGAGAAGAGGGAGAAAGGGAAAGGAAGGUUGCAAGUGAUUAUGAAUUGAAUUUUAGGUACUUUAAUGCGGAUGCAUUUGAAGUGUUUGUGAAAAUGUACAAAUUGGCUUUUGGGUAAGUUUCUGUUAUUUGUUUGUUAGCUUAAAUGAUGAUAUAAGCUCGUUGAAACAUGUGGCAAUAAAACAUGAUGUCAGUUAUCAUGUGAAGUGUUUGUCUUAAGGGUCAGAACCUUAAGGAACUCAACCUGAGUGUGUAAAGAUGGAUGGCCACAUAUUAUUAGUGUAUAAGGAAGUCAACCUGAGUGCAUAUGUACAGCUAUCUUUUAGAUUGCUUUUGUUUCUUUUUCUGAUUUUGUAUCAUGUAUAAUGAUGCUGUUAAUGUUUUCUCCAUAUCUUUAUUUUGUUAGACAGGAAGCAGAAGGACUUCUACAGUUAUACCGAGGGCCCAGCCAAUGCCUUUGUAGUUGUUGUAGAAAAAACUUAUCCAAUGAUCAAGAAGGCUUAACCCUGUGUUUUUGAGAGAUUCUUUGCCCACACAAAAAAAUUAUCCAAUUAUCAAGCUGAUUCUCUUACUUUUAGCUCAUUGAAGCUUAUGUCAUAUUAUUGUACUAUAGUCCUAAUUUUUGCUUUUGUACUUAAUAGGAGCAAAUCCAGCAUGCUGAGGAACAAUUUAACUCUGUGUCACUGUUAUUUUCUCAAGGUUUAGUGAUUAUAAACUAUUUCAUUUGGUAGACUUGACCUACUUAUUCUAGUAAGGAUAUGCCACUUGAUUUU
Molecule: RNA transcript, 1947 nt
Organism: Quercus lobata
Lineage: Eukaryota; Viridiplantae; Streptophyta; Magnoliopsida; Fagales; Fagaceae
Exons: 2
Source: RefSeq, a predicted model, not a curated record